GUAAAAAGUAGAAUAAUAGAUUUGAAAUAUUUAUUAUAUAGAUUUAAAGAGAUAAUCAUGGAGUAUAAUAAUUAAAUUUAAUAAAUUUAAUAUAACUAUUAAUAGAAUUAGGUUACUAAUAAAUUAAUAACAAUUAAUUUUAAAACCUAAAGGUAAACCUUUAUAUUAAUAAUGUUAUUUUUUAUUAUUUUUAUAAUAAGAAUAAUUAUUAAUAAUAAUAAACUAAGUGAACUGAAACAUCUAAGUAACUUAAGGAUAAUAAAUCAACAGAGAUAUUAUGAGUAUUGGUGAGAGAAAAUAAUAAAGGUCUAAUAAGUAUUAUGUGAAAAAAAUGUAAGAAAAUAGGAUAACAAAUUCUAAGACUAAAUACUAUUAAUAAGUAUAGUAAGUACCGUAAGGGAAAGUAUGAAAAUGAUUAUUUUAUAAGCAAUCAUGAAUAUAUUAUAUUAUAUUAAUGAUGUACCUUUUGUAUAAUGGGUCAGCAAGUAAUUAAUAUUAGUAAAACAAUAAGUUAUAAAUAAAUAGAAUAAUAUAUAUAUAUAAAAAAAUAUAUUAAAAUAUUUAAUUAAUAUUAAUUGACCCGAAAGCAAACGAUCUAACUAUGAUAAGAUGGAUAAACGAUCGAACAGGUUGAUGUUGCAAUAUCAUCUGAUUAAUUGUGGUUAGUAGUGAAAGACAAAUCUGGUUUGCAGAUAGCUGGUUUUCUAUGAAAUAUAUGUAAGUAUAGCCUUUAUAAAUAAUAAUUAUUAUAUAAUAUUAUAUAAAUAUUAUAUAAAGAAUGGUACAGCAAUUAAUAUAUAUUAGGGAACUAUUAAAGUUUUAUUAAUAAUAUUAAAUCUCGAAAUAUUUAAUUAUAUAUAAUAAAGAGUCAGAUUAUGUGCGAUAAGGUAAAUAAUCUAAAGGGAAACAGCCCAGAUUAAGAUAUAAAGUUCCUAAUAAAUAAUAAGUGAAAUAAAUAUUAAAAUAUUAUAAUAUAAUCAGUUAAUGGGUUUGACAAUAACCAUUUUUUAAUGAACAUGUAACAAUGCACUGAUUUAUAAUAAAUAAAAAAAAUAAUAUUUAAAAUCAAAUAUAUAUAUAUUUGUUAAUAGAUAAUAUACGGAUCUUAAUAAUAAGAAUUAUUUAAUUCCUAAUAUGGAAUAUUAUAUUUUUAUAAUAAUAAUAAAAAUAUAAAUACUGAAUAUCUAAAUAUUAUUAUUACUUUUUUUUUUAAUAAUAAUAAUAUGGUAAUAGAACAUUUAAUGAUAAUAUAUAUUAGUUAUUAAUUAAUAUAUGUAUUAAUUAAAUAGAGAAUGCUGACAUGAGUAACGAAAAAAAGGUAUAAACCUUUUCACCUAAAACAUAAGGUUUAACUAUAAAAGUACGGCCCCUAAUUAAAUUAUAUAAGAAUAUAAAUAUAUUUAAGAUGGGAUAAUCUAUAUUAAUAAAAAUUUAUCUUAAAAUAUAUAUAUUAUUAAUAAUUAUAUUAAUUAAUUAAUAAUAUAUAUAAUUAUAUUAUAUAUUAUAUUUUUAUAUAUAAUAUAUAUAAUAUAAACUAAUAAAGAUCAGGAAAUAAUUAAUGUAUACCGUAAUGUAGACCGACUCAGGUAUGUAAGUAGAGAAUAUGAAGGUGAAUUAGAUAAUUAAAGGGAAGGAACUCGGCAAAGAUAGCUCAUAAGUUAGUCAAUAAAGAGUAAUAAGAACAAAGUUGUACAACUGUUUACUAAAAACACCGCACUUUGCAGAAACGAUAAGUUUAAGUAUAAGGUGUGAACUCUGCUCCAUGCUUAAUAUAUAAAUAAAAUUAUUUAACGAUAAUUUUAUUAAAUUUAGGUAAAUAGCAGCCUUAUUAUGAGGGUUAUAAUGUAGCGAAAUUCCUUGGCCUAUAAUUGAGGUCCCGCAUGAAUGACGUAAUGAUACAACAACUGUCUCCCCUUUAAGCUAAGUGAAAUUGAAAUCGUAGUGAAGAUGCUAUGUACCUUCAGCAAGACGGAAAGACCCUAUGCAGCUUUACUGUAAUUAGAUAGAUCGAAUUAUUGUUUAUUAUAUUCAGCAUAUUAAGUAAUCCUAUUAUUAGGUAAUCGUUUAGAUAUUAAUGAGAUACUUAUUAUAAUAUAAUGAUAAUUCUAAUCUUAUAAAUAAUUAUUAUUAUUAUUAUUAUUAAUAAUAAUAAUAUGCUUUCAAGCAUAGUGAUAAAACAUAUUUAUAUGAUAAUCACUUUACUUAAUAGAUAUAAUUCUUAAGUAAUAUAUAAUAUAUAUUAUAUAUAUAUUAUAUAUAAUAUAAGAGACAAUCUCUAAUUGGUAGUUUUGAUGGGGCGUCAUUAUCAGCAAAAGUAUCUGAAUAAGUCCAUAAAUAAAUAUAUAAAAUUAUUGAAUAAAAAAAUAAUAUAUAUUAUAUAUAUUAAUUAUAAAUUGAAAUAUGUUUAUAUAAAUUUAUAUUUAUUGAAUAUAUUUUAGUAAUAGAUAAAAAUAUGUACAGUAAAAUUGUAAGGAAAACAAUAAUAACUUUCUCCUCUCUCGGUGGGGGUUCACACCUAUUUUUAAUAGGUGUGAACCCCUCUUCGGGGUUCCGGUUCCCUUUCGGGUCCCGGAACUUAAAUAAAAAUGGAAAGAAUUAAAUUAAUAUAAUGGUAUAACUGUGCGAUAAUUGUAACACAAACGAGUGAAACAAGUACGUAAGUAUGGCAUAAUGAACAAAUAACACUGAUUGUAAAGGUUAUUGAUAACGAAUAAAAGUUACGCUAGGGAUAACAGGGUAAUAUAACGAAAGAGUAGAUAUUGUAAGUUAUGUUUGCCACCUCGAUGUCGACUCAACAUUUCCUCUUGGUUGUAAAAGCUAAGAAGGGUUUGACUGUUCGUCAAUUAAAAUGUUACGUGAGUUGGGUUAAAUACGAUGUGAAUCAGUAUGGUUCCUAUCUGCUGAAGGAAAUAUUAUCAAAUUAAAUCUCAUUAUUAGUACGCAAGGACCAUAAUGAAUCAACCCAUGGUGUAUCUAUUGAUAAUAAUAUAAUAUAUUUAAUAAAAAUAAUACUUUAUUAAUAUAUUAUCUAUAUUAGUUUAUAUUUUAAUUAUAUAUUAUCAUAGUAGAUAAGCUAAGUUGAUAAUAAAUAAAUAUUGAAUACAUAUUAAAUAUGAAGUUGUUUUAAUAAGAUAAUUAAUCUGAUAAUUUUAUACUAAAAUUAAUAAUUAUAGGUUUUAUAUAUUAUUUAUAAAUAUAAUAUAAUAAUUAUUAUUAUUAAUAAAAAAAAUAUUAAUUAUAAUAUUAAUAAAAUACUAAUUUAUCAGUUAUCUAUAUAAUAUCUAAUCUAUUAUUCUAUAUACU
RNAcentral lists this ribosomal RNA (3303 nucleotides) under Saccharomyces cerevisiae YJM1336. RNAcentral describes it as "21S ribosomal RNA". The stretch from base 186 to 3151 matches the Rfam family "Bacterial large subunit ribosomal RNA". The record is from RNAcentral. Lineage: Eukaryota; Fungi; Ascomycota; Saccharomycetes; Saccharomycetales; Saccharomycetaceae.